UAUGUUGCUUUUGCACACUACUCUACCAUGCUUUGUGGAGUGCCUGUACUCUGCUCAGAUCCUUAUAAAUAGUGCCUUUAUUCUCUUUACAUUGUUCAGUUGGACUGUGUCAUCAGUUUCUUUCUGGACAUUCGCUGGCAGCGAAAUCGCUUCUAUAAGUGGCUUUAGGAGAAAGCUGUUCAGCAUCGGACUCUGGGUUUGGCUAGUCAUGUAUUUGAAGAACAUAGAACAUAGAGACCCUCCUCCAUCUAUUCCAUUUGCUCCUAUUCAGUCAACGACAGGUGAAAUGCUUUUGUCUGAGAUGUGGAGGCAGGGGAGAGAGUAGAGUGUGGACCCACAGCUGCGCCCCUGGAACUUGUCUGGAUCCCCCUUGCUCCUUUGCUGUCCACCGAUCCUCUAAACUGGUGUCCACAGAGGAGCCUCAGCUGGGUCUGGACGCAGCCAUCUUCUCCUCCCACCAUCCUCACCUCCGACUGUCCCUGCCAUACUCUUAGUCUUCAUCUUGAGGGUCCCUGGGUGUUUGGGAAUACAAAGGAGAUUUUCCAGUCCUCUCUCCUCGAGGACAGAGAACAACAGAAAUAAAAUAAGAAGGGAAGGAGAAGUAUGGACAUUUAACUUAGUCCCAAGUGGCCAAGAGAUGGUGGCAGAAGGUAACUGGAGAUUUAUCUUUCUUCAAGGAAGACAUUUUGAACAGACUUUUUUUUUUUUUUUCUCCUUUCAAGAAUGAUCAGCAGUCAGGCCAAGUCCUGACAUUGAUAUAAACACCAGUCUGGCCAGGAAGCACACAUUUCUAACAGGUAUCUCAUCAAUUUUGACAAGAUACUGUGUUCAAGACACAGUACAGAGAUAAGGAAGAAGGCAUCUGUAUUUAUUAGGCUGGGUGCUAUCGGGGAAGCUAUAGCUAUGUUAAAAAUAACAUGUGAUUCAAAGUUCACAGGAUAAAUAUAGCUAGCUGGGAACAAAUGAGUAAUGUCGAUACGGAGGGCUGUGCUCCCGACCUGAGGAUUCUGAGGGCUGAAAUUCAUUUUGACUUUUGACAUUCCUUAGGCAUUCGCAAGGUACAUUUACGCUCUUGGGAUUGGAGGCAGCCACGCCAUAAAUAAGAGCCUAAGGAAAUAACAACAUUCUUUAUUUUACGACUGCAUUCUCGUUCGGAUCGUGUCAUUCUUGUAUUCUUGGGUUUCCGUCGGCCCUUUCCUGGUAUGGCCGUGCUAUAAAACCUCUUCCUGUAAUCAUAGCGUGUAGAAAGCUGCCCUUUCUACACUUGGAAAAGGCCAGCUAGCGCUCAGGACUCACUGUCACAAGGUAUAUGCUGCGUUGUUGCUUGGCUCUAGCGCUGUCUGUUGUUUUUGCUUGAUGGGUGUAAGGAAUUGAGCCCAUGGCCUCUCCUGUGCAAAGCGUGCACUGCCCCAAGAAACUGUCCCCUCUCAGGGAACUGCACCCUCGGACCCCGACCUAAUUUUUAAAAUCAUGUAUUUUUUUCUUUUUUUUCUUUUGUGGGCUUUGUAGAAAGCCCCCCUUUCAGAAUUCUAGCCAUUUUACCUGUUUUUUCGAAGGGUCUUGGCUCCUUGUGGGUCAGCAGAGACAGCGCAACCUGGGGACGCAUCACCAAUGCACAUUCUUUGGUCCACCCUACCGCCCUACUAUACCAGGAACUGUGGGAGUGGGACCCCGCGAUGAUGCUACAUUAACAAGCCUUCUGGAAAAUUCUUUUUUAUAUGUUAAUUACAGUGUAUUAGCUUUGUAUUCUAGGUGUAGCCUCCUCCCUCAUUCCCUCCCAACUGAUAGGCAAGAUCCUCCUCCCUGUCCAUCUGAGUACCCCACUAAUGGGAACAGGGGCUCUCACUGACAUGAACUCUGUGGCUGGCUCUUUGACCACCUCCCCCUGAGAGGGGAACAGCCUUGCCAGGCUACAGAGGAGGACAAUGCAGCCAGUCCUGAUGAGACCUGAUAAACUAGGGAAAUUCUUAUGUUGGCUUCAGAACCACAGUUUUACCAGGAGAACGAAAGGAAAUAGCGUCCCCUUGAGGCCACGUGACCACAGCCACCAGAAGUGGUUGUAUAUUCCCGGGGGGUCCAGAGACAAGGGUACAGGUUUGUAAAUCCUAAUGUUGCUCUCCAUACAAAGAGCCUAUUCCCGGCAACUUCGGAGGCUCCAGCUUGAUUUAACUAAGGGAUGGUGCUGUUUUGAAGACAGGUGAGCAUGGGUGUAUUAAAAAAAAAAAUUAGUAUUUGCUUAUCUGUCUAUCCCAUUUUUGUUCUAAGUUCAUUUCCAUAUUCAGUACCUUGCAAGUGCCCUCCAUUGAAUGGUCUCUCAGCCUUAUCUCAGACAUCUGCAGCAGUAUCCUGGUCUCAUCUCCAGCUCUUCCUUGCUUCCCACACGGAGAAAUGCUGCUUGCUUUCUUCAGUUUAACGCUGCUCGGGCAACAGCAGGAGCCCUACAUGCCUUCUACGGCGUGCCCUUUGCUAGGAGCAGCUCCCAGAGGGCAGGACCCACGGUUUACUCCCUCUGAGCCUGUCUUAGCACAGUGUUCUUGGUGAGAGAUGAUGUGAAAAUGUUUUCAAACGAAUAAGUGGAUUAACACAGUCCGCAGUGUGCAUGCAUCAGCCAUUCCUGGAAUGUCCCAGCUGUCUUCCUUCAUGCAGUUCCUCUCAGUGUGAAAUGUCCUGUGUCCAUCUUCAGGCUUUCUAACCCCACCUGUUCUUUCAGACUCAUUCAGAGUGAACUGCAGGCUGUGGAAUGUGCUCUUGGUGUCACAGUCAGCAUCUGGUGAAACCACUGAGUCCCACUGUUUUGGGGAUGAUUACAAGGAAAAGAAAACAAUGAUGCAGCAUUUUAUAUAUACAUACAUAUACACACACAUACAUAUAUGCAUAUAUGUGUGUAUACAUUUGUGUUGGCUGAGGACUUAACAAGUUCUAUAUCACCUUAAUUUUAUAAUCAGUUUGAGUAAGAUGAUAUCAUCAUCAUCAUCAUUAUCAAAUAUGAAAUGGAGGAAAGCCGGCCUUAAGUAAUUUGCUCAAGAAGUAAAGUGAGACAUGUCAAAGCUGGUAUUAAAACCCAGGUUUGAUCCACUCUUAAUGUCAAUGCUCUUAAUUUAAGUCCAAGUAGGUGCUAGACAAAGCACAGAUAUUCAAGACAUUCAAAUUCAAGAAUUAUGAAUAUAAAUAGACCACUAGAAAUCUGGACUGAUUUUUUUUUCUUUUUUUGGUACAAGAUCUCACUACACAGUCCAAGUUAACCUAUAUCUCGGUUCUCCUGGGAUAACAUACAGGCACUACCAUGCAUUAGAAAUUGGAAUUGAUAUACCAGUCAGUGAAUGCAAGUACAUUGGUGUCCAGCCAGUUAGGCAUUACUCUAGGAGCAGGAAAAUAUAGAGCAUAAAUAAUAUUGAUAGGUCCCUGAUUUUUUUUUUUUUUACUCUGCAAUAAAAAAUAAGGAAAUCAUGAAAUUUGCAGGUAAAUGGUGGGACCUGGAAAGGAUCAUCCUGAGUGAGCUGUCCCAGAAGCAGAAAGAUACACACGGUAUAUACUUACUCAUAUAGACAUAUAACAUAGGAUAAACCUACUAAAAACUGUACAUCUAAAGAAACUAAUCAAGAGAGAGGACUCUGACUAAAAUGCUCAAUCCCCACCCCAAAAGGCAAAGAGGAUAGACAUCAGAAGAAGAAUAAAACAGGAAACAACCUAGGAACCUGCCACAGAGGGCCUCUGAAAGGCUCUGUCCUGCAGACUAUCAAAGCAGACGCUGAGACUUAUGGCCAACUGUUGGGCAGAGUGCAUGGAAUCUUAUGUAAGAAAUGGGAAAUAGUAAGAGCUGGAGAGGACAGGAACCCCACAAGGAGAGAAACAGAACCAGAAAAUUUGAACACAGGGGUCUUCCCAGAGACUCAUACUCCAACCAAGUAGCAUGCAUGGAGAUAACCUAGAAUCCCUGCACAGAUGUAGCCCAUAGCAGUUCAGUGUCCAAGUUGAUUCCGUAGUAAUGGGAAGAGGGACUGUCUCUGAAAUAAUCUGAUUGGCCUGCUGAUCACCUCCCCCUGAGGGGGGAGCAGCCUUACCAGGCCACAGAAGAAGACAAUGCAGCCACUCCUGAUGUGAUCUGAAAGACUAAGAUCAGAAGGAAGGAGAGGAGGACCUCCCCUACCAGUGGACUUGGGGAGGGGCAUUCGUGAAGAAGGGGGAGGGAGGGUGGGACUGGGCGGGGAGGAGGGAAGAGCUUAUGGGGGGAUACAAAGUGAAUAAAGUGUAAUUAAUAAAAAAGUUUAAAAAAUGUAGUUUAAAAAUAUCUAUCGUCAUACUCUUGAACUGACUGAUUUUUGCAGAAACAAUAAAUUAUUUUAUAGAUAGGAUGACACAACAAAAGUGGUACAUUUAGAGUUAUCUACAGAUACUUUGUCUAAUAGCAAAUGUAUCCACAAACAUAGCUCAUGUACUAAUUGUAAGUGAAGGAUAGACACUGCUCACGUUCCAGGCGGAAAAGGAUUCUGCAAACAGGAGUGUGAUCAGAAGAGAGGGGUGCUGCAGUUGACUGGCAAUGCCCGGCGUCAGGGAGGCGAUGAGGAAGCAUGGCAAA
Meriones unguiculatus (Mongolian gerbil) is the source of this 4576-nucleotide long non-coding RNA. RefSeq lists it as uncharacterized. The transcript has 2 exons. The record is from RefSeq and is a predicted model, not a curated record. Lineage: Eukaryota; Metazoa; Chordata; Mammalia; Rodentia; Muridae.